Molecule: ribosomal RNA, 460 nt
Filed under: uncultured bacterium
Lineage: Bacteria
Description: partial 16S ribosomal RNA
Rfam family: Bacterial small subunit ribosomal RNA
Source: RNAcentral
CCUACGGGUGGCAGCAGUGAGGAAUAUUGGUCAAUGGCCGGAAGGCUGAACCAGCCAUGCCGCGUGAAGGGCAGGGGCCUAGGGGCGUUAAACGUCUUUUGUGCGGGAGCAAAAAUGGACAAGUGGGGCCAGACGAGAGGACCGUACGAAUAAGCAACGGCUAACUCCGGGCCAGCAGCCGCGGUAAUACGGGGGAUGCAAGCGUUAUCCGGAUUUAGUGGGGUUCAAGGGGGCGUAGGCUGUGAGGUAAGUCAGCGGGGAAAUGCCCCCGCUCAACGGGGUGAAGUGCCAUUGAUACUGCCUUUCUGGACUGCGUAUGCCGUGGGCGGUAUGUGUGUUGUAGCGGUGACCUGCAUAGAUAUCACACAGAACCCCGAUUGCGACGGCAUCUCACGAAUCCGCGCUUGACGCUGCUGCACGACAGCGUGGGUAUCAAACCGGAUUAGCUCCCCCUGUAGUC